UCCUUAUACAACCUUACAACUGUAUUCAGCACAUUCAGCAGAAUAAAUGACAAUAAUCUAAUAUAUUGGGCGAACAUGUAUCGAUAUCAAAAAGCUUACUUUCAGGUCGAUAUUCGAUUAUUUAGAUCGAUAUUAAUCUAAAGCCUAUCUUGCACAUUUGAUUGCCGACCCGUAUAAUCAAAAACCAUUUAUAAAAUAGUCAGGAUUAUUACUGUAUAUAGUUUGAUAAAUGGUAACUUUUUGUGGUUUAUGUCUUUUAAGCCUGUAGUACAAUCUUUGUCUAAUGGUCAAAUAUUUGACCUUCUGACAUAAUGGUCAAAUUUAUUUGACAUCAUGGUUGUUGUUUGCCCCAUGUUAAAAUUGGAGAGUGACAAAUAAUUAUCUUUGACCAAAUUUUUAUCUGUCAAAAAGUGACAAAUAUUUGACGCUCGGUCAAAGAGUGUACUACAGGCUUAACUAUCUGCUCUGUUCAGCAUUAAUGGUUCAAACAACUGGCGUACUAUUACAGAAUUGUGUAAUGAAAAUAAGAAUUGUGCUCAUCAAACAAAAUUUUUUGAAUUAUACCAAACAUUCGGUGCAUUUAUCGGCGUCAGGCAGCGAGGUAGCGAUGGUUCGCAAAAUCAAGAACCUUACAGUACCUGUCAUCACGGCAAGUGAUUUAUUUUCAUGUUUCAUAUUUGGGAAAAAAUAUCCAAUUGGAAACUAUUCUAAUUGCAAUAUCGAGCUAGAUACGUUUGAAACGGGGAAUAAGAAAUGAAAAGUUGCUAUAAUGUUUACAUAUAGCUUCGCAGGUAAAUUUAGCGCUUUUGCUUUUGUAUCGCAUUCAUAAGCGCACGACCACACCUACGCAUGUUUCGUUCGCGCAUGUAUCCCGUAUUAUCCUUUGCUUAAAUUAUCAGGAUAAGCGAGAUGCAUCUAAAAAUGCAUGUAUUAGUAAGUAUAUCAAGUUGUAUGAAUGAAUUUCUGUUCUUGUUUCGCGCAUUGAUAAAGAUAAGUAUCUAGCCAUUCUUAAUGAAGGAAGGAAUCUCUUCUCUUUCUUACUUAUUGUUAGUAUGUAUUUUACAUUUAAGACAGUGCAUUAGAUUUAGGUAUAAAAACUCUGUAAAUUUCAUUAAUAAAUUCAUUCUGUUUG
Molecule: long non-coding RNA, 1132 nt
Organism: Wyeomyia smithii (pitcher-plant mosquito)
Lineage: Eukaryota; Metazoa; Arthropoda; Insecta; Diptera; Culicidae
Exons: 3
Source: RefSeq, a predicted model, not a curated record